This is a long non-coding RNA of Callithrix jacchus (white-tufted-ear marmoset), 1567 nucleotides long. RefSeq lists it as uncharacterized. NCBI's taxonomy places the organism in Eukaryota, Metazoa, Chordata, Mammalia, Primates, Cebidae. The record is from RefSeq and is a predicted model, not a curated record.
UUUAUACAAAUUAGUACUCUUAUGUUCCCCAAAACAAAUACAUAUUUAUUUUUAAUGGACUAAAAAUAUAUAUAUUAAAUUCAUGACAAAGGCUACCUUUGGGGAGGGAAGGGUAGAAUUCAAACUGGGAAUAGAGAGCAAAAGGAACUUCGAUUUUGUUCAUAAUGUUUAUCGUAUUUUCUUUCUAAAAAAAGAUUUGAAUCAAAUGUGUCAAAAUGUUAACAGCUUUCAAUGAUGGGUGGUAGGUUUAUGGAUACUUGCUAUGUUAUUUGUACUUGUCUAUAUUUUUAAAUUUCUCAAGAAAAACAACACAAUAAGGUGACUGUACUUUUAGUAAAUUAUGGCUGCAUGUUACCCAGAUAUCUGCUCCAGUUAUACUGAGAAACUGGAAGUGUGAAACUCUACCAUCUGUUAAAGAAAUCUUGACAUCCAUGGGUAGCAAAGAAACAUCAAAAACUGAUGUUAAGACUGCAUGACUGAGCAAAUAUACUUGAAAACAUGUAGAUUAUUUUAUUAAGCAAUGAAUGCUGGAAACAAAACCAGAUUUUAUUGUAGAGUCAGAGAGGAUAAUGUAGACAUUUGAGGUAAAAUUAUCAAUAAUAUUGAUUAAGGUUUUAUAUGUGAUUAUCCAUUUAUUUUUCUGCUGGGUAGGAAUAAAGAGAUUUUUUAGCUGAAUAAAACUUGGUAAAAGUACAAGCUGUUCUGAGGAAUUCUUAUGUAUAUUCCAGGCUGUUAUUAUAGGAUUAAAGUGUUAAGUGUGGGGAGGAACACAACAUUUGAAGAAUCUCAGCUCAAAGGCCCUCCCUCACUAGAAAUGAAUUGUUGUUCUGACUCAUCUUUUGUGCAGACCAAAUUCGUUAACUUUCAAGCACUUGCAUGACUGUGAGGUUAUUUCCUUGCUGGACUUUUGUGCUAGAGACAUACUGAGGACAGACUACGGAGAAAAUUUCCAAAAUUCUAGAGAUGGGGAAAUCCAAGAUCAAGUUUCUAUCAGAUUUAGUGUCUGCUGAGGGCUCACUCUCUGCUUUGAAGAUGGUGCCGGCUUGCUGAGUCCUCAGAUGGUGAAAAGAGCGAACAGACUCACUUGAGCCUCUUUUAUGAGGGCACUAAUCCUGCACCUGAUGGCAAAUUCCUCAUGACCUAAUGAUAUAGGACUUAAGAAGAAAUCACUCAGGCAGAUAGCGAGGGAAUAGGAGUCCUUGAUUAAACACAAACAUCGAAGAUGAGAAAUUCCACGCAAAAACGGAGAAAGAAAGAGUAGAGGAAGACUACAACCAUCUGACGCAGUGACUUAGUUGGAUCCUAUGAGAAGAAUGCAGACUGGGGACUGAAGCUUCUGCUCCCAUACCCAGGGUUCCUGCAGAACGUGAUGACUCCAGGAUUCUACAAUCUGGACCUAGGGUAACACUGGAAAGCAAGCUUUGGCUGUCAUAUUGUCCAAAUUAUAUGCUUCCUCUGACAAGCACAUAGUCUGUACUGGAUAUAGGGCCAGCCUUACCAUUAAAUUUCAAGGGAAAAUGGGAGGAGACUUCUUAUUCAUGUAAAAACAGAGUAACUUUGACUUAAG